UGGCUUGCCAGUCUUCCAUUUAUCCACAGAACAGGUAUGGCACAGGCAGUGCUUGUGCAACUUACCCCCCUGCUCCUCCACGAAUGUGCCUGAGCCCUCUGUAAAGGCUACAUGUGAACUACCAUAGCCAAUCGAUUCCCCA
Molecule: small RNA, 142 nt
Filed under: Chrysemys picta bellii (western painted turtle)
Lineage: Eukaryota; Metazoa; Chordata; Testudines; Emydidae
Description: TUC338 (ENSCPBG00000020790.1)
Source: RNAcentral